UCCGGCUUAACACCGGCAGUCUCCUUAGAGUCCCCGGCAUGACCCGCUGGUAACUAAGGACAAGGGUUUCGCUCGUUAAGGGACUUAACCCGACAUCUCACAACACGAGCUGACGACAGCCAUGCAGCACCUGUGUACGUUCCACCCUUGCGGGUGUUACUUCCCUUUCAGGAAGCUAAUCCGUACAUGUCAAACCUAGGAUAAGGUUCUUCGCGUAGCCUCGAAUUAAGCCACAUGCUCCACCGCUGGUGUGAGCCCCCGUCAAUUCCUUUGAGUUUCAGCCUUGCGACCAUACUCCCCAGGCGGGGUACUUAACACUUUCGCUACGGCAGAAGGUGCCAUCGGAGCACUUUCUACCCAGUACCCAUCGUUUAAGGCUAGGACUAC
Molecule: unclassified non-coding RNA, 387 nt
Filed under: uncultured Planctomycetia bacterium
Lineage: Bacteria; Pseudomonadati; Planctomycetota; Planctomycetia
Description: contains 16S-23S intergenic spacer region
Source: RNAcentral